UGUAUCCUACGGGACGCAGCAGUGAGGAAUAUUGGUCAAUGGGCGCGAGCCUGAACCAGCCAAGUCGCGUGAGGGAAGACGGUCCUAUGGAUUGUAAACCUCUUUUGUCGGGGAGCAAAAGACGCCACGCGUGGCGUUCCGAGAGUACCCGAAGAAAAAGCAUCGGCUAACUCCGUGCCAGCAGCCGCGGUAAUACGGAGGAUGCGAGCGUUAUCCGGAUUGAUUGGGUUUAAAGGGUGCGCAGGCGGAAAAUCAAGUCAGCGGAAAGAUUGAGAGGCUCAACAUCU
RNAcentral lists this ribosomal RNA (287 nucleotides) under uncultured bacterium. Its description in RNAcentral is "partial 16S ribosomal RNA". It matches the Rfam family "Bacterial small subunit ribosomal RNA", at positions 333 to 617 of the family's 1533-position model. The record is from RNAcentral.